UACGGAGGAUCCAAGCGUUAUCCGGAUUUAUUGGGUUUAAAGGGUGCGUAGGUGGUUUUUUAAGUCAGUGGUGAAAGCUCCUAGCUCAACUGGGAAAUUGCCAUUGAUACUGAUGAUCUUGAGUAUGAUUGAGGUUGGCGGAAUGUGUCAUGUAGCGGUGAAAUGCUUAGAUAUGACACAGAACACCGAUUGCGAAGGCAGCUAACUAAGCCAUAACUGACGCUGAUGCACGAAAGCGUGGGGAGCAAACAGG
This 253-nucleotide ribosomal RNA is filed under the name uncultured bacterium. RNAcentral describes it as "partial 16S ribosomal RNA". It matches the Rfam family "Bacterial small subunit ribosomal RNA", at positions 524 to 776 of the family's 1533-position model. The record is from RNAcentral.